RNAcentral lists this ribosomal RNA (503 nucleotides) under uncultured Rhodocyclales bacterium. RNAcentral describes it as "bacterial SSU rRNA". It matches the Rfam family "Bacterial small subunit ribosomal RNA", at positions 384 to 879 of the family's 1533-position model. The record is from RNAcentral. Lineage: Bacteria; Pseudomonadati; Pseudomonadota; Betaproteobacteria; Rhodocyclales.
UGAUCCAGCAUGCCGCGUGAGUGAAGAAGGCCUUCGGGUUGUAAAGCUCUUUCGGCCGGGAAGAAAUCGCAUCUCCUAAUACGGGGUGUGGAUGACGGUACCUGAAUAAGAAGCACCGGCUAACUACGUGCCAGCAGCCGCGGUAAUACGUAGGGUGCGAGCGUUAAUCGGAAUUACUGGGCGUAAAGCGUGCGCAGGCGGUUUCGUAAGACAGAGGUGAAAUCCCCGGGCUCAACCUGGGAACUGCCUUUGUGACUGCGAGGCUAGAGUAUGGCAGAGGGGGGUGGAAUUCCACGUGUAGCAGUGAAAUGCGUAGAGAUGUGGAGGAACACCGAUGGCGAAGGCAGCCCCCUGGGCCAAUACUGACGCUCAUGCACGAAAGCGUGGGGAGCAAACAGGAUUAGAUACCCUGGUAGUCCACGCCCUAAACGAUGUCGACUAGGUGUUGGGAGGGUUAAACCUUUUAGUACCGUAGCUAACGCGUGAAGUUGACCGCCUGGGGA